UACAGAGGUCUCAAGCGUUGUUCGGAUUCAUUGGGCGUAAAGGGUGCGCAGGUGGCGAGGCAAGUCGGAUGUGAAAUCCCGGGGCUCAACCCCGGAACUGCAUUCGAUACUGCCUUGCUAGAGUGCUGGAGAGGAGAGUGGAAUUUACGGUGUAGCAGUGAAAUGCGUAGAUAUCGGAAGGAACACCUGUGGCGAAAGCGGCUCACUGGACCACUACUGACGCUGAGGCACGAAAGCUAGGGGAGCAAACAGG
RNAcentral lists this ribosomal RNA (253 nucleotides) under uncultured bacterium. RNAcentral describes it as "partial 16S ribosomal RNA". It matches the Rfam family "Bacterial small subunit ribosomal RNA", at positions 524 to 776 of the family's 1533-position model. The record is from RNAcentral.